RNAcentral lists this transfer RNA (74 nucleotides) under Hyphomicrobium nitrativorans NL23. RNAcentral describes it as "Hyphomicrobium sp. NL23 tRNA". It matches the Rfam family "tRNA". From Rfam's summary of the family: Transfer RNA (tRNA) molecules are approximately 80 nucleotides in length. Their secondary structure includes four short double-helical elements and three loops (D, anti-codon, and T loops). Further hydrogen bonds mediate the characteristic L-shaped molecular structure. tRNAs have two regions of fundamental functional importance: the anti-codon, which is responsible for specific mRNA codon recognition, and the 3' end, to which the tRNAs corresponding amino acid is attached (by aminoacyl-tRNA synthetases). tRNAs cope with the degeneracy of the genetic code in two manners: having more than one tRNA (with a specific anti-codon) for a particular amino acid; and 'wobble' base-pairing, i.e. permitting non-standard base-pairing at the 3rd anti-codon position. The record is from Rfam by way of RNAcentral. Lineage: Bacteria; Pseudomonadati; Pseudomonadota; Alphaproteobacteria; Hyphomicrobiales; Hyphomicrobiaceae. RNAcentral also lists the same sequence under 1 other name.
CGGGGCAUAGCUCAGCCUGGUAGAGCACCUGCUUUGGGAGCAGGGGGCCGGGAGUUCGAAUCUCUCUGCCCCGA